UGGGGAAUUUUGCACAAUGGGGGAAACCCUGAUGCAGCGACGCCGCGUGAUUUAGAAGGCCUUCGGGUUGUAAAAAUCUUUUCUAUGGGAAGAAAAUGACAGUACCAUAGGAAUAAGGACCGGCUAAUUACGUGCCAGCAGCCGCGGUAAUACGUAAGGUCCGAGCGUUGUCCGGAAUCAUUGGGCGUAAAGGGUACGUAGGCGGGUAAGCAAGUUAGAAGUGAAAUCCUAUAGCUCAACUAUAGUAAGCUUUUAAAACUGCUCAUCUUGAGGUAUGGAAGGGAAAGUGGAAUUCCUAGUGUAGCGGUGAAAUGCGCAGAUAUUAGGAGGAAUACCGGUGGCGAAGGCGACUUUCUGGCCAUAACCUGACGCUGAGGUACGAAAGCGUGGGUAGUAAACAGG
RNAcentral lists this ribosomal RNA (402 nucleotides) under bacterium. RNAcentral describes it as "partial 16S ribosomal RNA". It matches the Rfam family "Bacterial small subunit ribosomal RNA", at positions 355 to 776 of the family's 1533-position model. The record is from RNAcentral.